RNAcentral lists this ribosomal RNA (440 nucleotides) under uncultured bacterium. RNAcentral describes it as "partial 16S ribosomal RNA". It matches the Rfam family "Bacterial small subunit ribosomal RNA", at positions 338 to 795 of the family's 1533-position model. The record is from RNAcentral.
CCUACGGGUGACAGCAGUGGGGAAUAUUGCACAAUGGGGGAAACUCUGAUGCAGCGAUGCCGCGUGAGUGAAGAAGUCACUCUUUAUGUAAAGCUCCAUUUGCAGGGAAGAAAACGACGGUACGUGUGUAAGUCGCCCCGGCUAACUCGGUGCCAGCAGCCGCGGCAAUAUGGAGGGGGCAAGGGUUAUCCGGAUUUACCGGGUGUAAUGGGGGUGUAGACGGCAGUGCAAGUCAGGGGUGAAAGGCGGGGGCUCAACCCCCGAACUGCUCUGGAAACUGUACGGCUGGAGAGUAGGAGAGGUAGGUGGAAUGCCUGGUGUAGCGGUGAAAUGCGUAGAGAUUAGAAAGAACACCGAUGGCGAAGGCAGCUUACCGAGCUAUAUCUGACGUUGAGGCUCGAAAGCGUGGGGAGCAAACAGGAUUAGAUACCCGAGUAGUC